GAUGAACGCUAGCGGCAGGCCUAAUACAUGCAAGUCGAGGGAGAAUGUUGGAUUCGUCUGACAUGAAACCGGCGCACGGGUGCGUAACACGUAUGCAACCUACCUUUAACUGGGGUAUAGCUCAGAGAAAUCUGAAUUAAUCCCCCAUAAGACUACGACAUGGCAUCAUGAUGUAGUUAAAGCUCCGGCGGUUAAGGAUGGGCAUGCGGUACAUUAGCUAGUUGGUGAGGUAAUGGCUCACCAAGGCUACGAUGUAUAGGGGGUCUGAGAGGAUGAUCCCCACCACUGGUACUGAGACACGGACCAGACUCCUACGGGAGGCAGCAGUAGGGAAUAUUGGUCAAUGGACGCAAGUCUGAACCAGCCAUGCCGCGUGAAGGAUGAAGGCCCUAUGGGUCGUAAACUUCUUUUAUUAGGGAAGAAAAAACGGGAUGCGUCCUGUACUGACGGUACUUAAUGAAUAAGGAUCGGCUAACUUCGUGCCAGCCGCCGCCGCAG
RNAcentral lists this ribosomal RNA (498 nucleotides) under uncultured bacterium. RNAcentral describes it as "partial 16S ribosomal RNA". It matches the Rfam family "Bacterial small subunit ribosomal RNA", at positions 28 to 523 of the family's 1533-position model. The record is from RNAcentral.